UACGGAGGGUGCAAGCGUUAAUCGGAAUUACUGGGCGUAAAGCGUGCGCAGGCGGUUUGUUAAGUCUGCUGUGAAAUCCCCGAGCUCAACUUGGGAAUUGCAGUGGAUACUGGCAGGCUGGAGUAUGGUAGAGGAAGGUGGAAUUCCCGGUGUAGCAGCGAAAUGCGUAGAGAUCGGGAGGAACACCAGUGGCGAAGGCGGCCUUCUGGACCAAUACUGACGCUCAUGCACGAAAGCGUGGGGAGCAAACAGG
This 253-nucleotide ribosomal RNA is filed under the name uncultured bacterium. RNAcentral's name for it is "partial 16S ribosomal RNA". It matches the Rfam family "Bacterial small subunit ribosomal RNA", at positions 524 to 776 of the family's 1533-position model. The record is from RNAcentral.